AGUUCAACGACUGUUGUAAUGAAAGUGAUAUUAAGGACUGUCUGAAAAAAAAGGAUCUUCCUGAUGAAGCAACUAAAAUAAACGAUAAGGAACAAUGCAUGGGUAUGGCGGAUACCUUCAGAAUGAAUGCAAAUGCCAAUAAACAAUAUUGUACAUAAUCGAAUAAACAAUCUCAUGAUUUAUGGCAUACUUCCAUGUAUAUUGAGUUGAAUGAGAUACAGGAUCUUUCCCAAUUAGAAACUUGAAAAUUAAGAAACAUCGUUGUGAAGAAAAUGUUUAAAAUAUAAACGAAAUUGUUACAUUAAUAUGAUUAAAAUGUUUUAUUAUUAUUAACUGUAUGUUGAAUAAU
Centruroides sculpturatus (bark scorpion) is the source of this 349-nucleotide long non-coding RNA. RefSeq lists it as uncharacterized. The record is from RefSeq and is a predicted model, not a curated record. NCBI's taxonomy places the organism in Eukaryota, Metazoa, Arthropoda, Arachnida, Scorpiones, Buthidae. The transcript is spliced from 6 exons.